CACUAUGCCUAGCCCUAAACAUUGACAGUUAAUUACACCCACUGUCCGCCUGGGGACUACGAGCACCAGCUUAAAACCCAAAGGACUUGGCGGUGCUUUAGACCCACCUAGAGGAGCCUGUUCUAGAACCGAUAAUCCCCGUUAAACCUCACCCUUCCUUGUCAUUUCCGCCUAUAUACCACCGUCGUCAGCUUACCCUGUGAAGGCCCUAUAGUAAGCACAAUCGGUAGAACCCAGAACGUCAGGUCGAGGUGUAGCGAAUGGAAGGGGAAGAAAUGGGCUACAUUUACUAGUACAGUAAAUACGGAUGAUCACCCUGCAACGAGUAUCUGAAGGAGGAUUUAGCAGUAAGCAAAAAAUAGAGUGUUUUGCUGAAAUUGGCCCUGAAGCGUGCACACACCGCCCGUCACUCUCUCCAAACUAAAAAAUUUUUUAAUAACUAAUACACUACAACUGUAAAGGGGAGGCAAGUCGUAA
This 477-nucleotide ribosomal RNA is filed under the name Chaetodon bennetti (bluelashed butterflyfish). RNAcentral describes it as "partial small subunit ribosomal RNA". It matches the Rfam family "Bacterial small subunit ribosomal RNA", at positions 788 to 1491 of the family's 1533-position model. The record is from RNAcentral. Lineage: Eukaryota; Metazoa; Chordata; Actinopteri; Chaetodontiformes; Chaetodontidae.